RNAcentral lists this transfer RNA (99 nucleotides) under Pyricularia grisea. Its description in RNAcentral is "tRNA-Ser". It matches the Rfam family "tRNA". Rfam says of the family: Transfer RNA (tRNA) molecules are approximately 80 nucleotides in length. Their secondary structure includes four short double-helical elements and three loops (D, anti-codon, and T loops). Lineage: Eukaryota; Fungi; Ascomycota; Sordariomycetes; Magnaporthales; Pyriculariaceae. The record is from RNAcentral. RNAcentral also lists the same sequence under 2 other names.
GGCAGCUUGCCAGAGUGGUUAAUGGGUAAGACUUGAAUACUCCAGCAGUUCAGGCAUCUUAUGACUUCGGUCGCGCAGGUUCGAACCCUGCAGCUGUCG